RNAcentral lists this ribosomal RNA (375 nucleotides) under uncultured Alphaproteobacteria bacterium. RNAcentral's name for it is "bacterial SSU rRNA". It matches the Rfam family "Bacterial small subunit ribosomal RNA", at positions 521 to 896 of the family's 1533-position model. The record is from RNAcentral. Lineage: Bacteria; Pseudomonadati; Pseudomonadota; Alphaproteobacteria.
UAAUACGGAGGGGGCUAGCGUUGUUCGGAAUUACUGGGCGUAAAGCGCGCGUAGGCGGCAAUUCAAGUUGGGCGUGAAAGCCCGGGGCUCAACCCCGGAAUUGCGUUCAAAACUGGAUAGCUAGAGUCCGAGAGAGGUGAGUGGAAUUCCCCGUGUAGAGGUGAGAUUCGUAGAUAUUGGGAAGAACACCAGUGGCGAAGGCGGCUCACUGGCUCGGUACUGACGCUAAGGUGCGAAAGCGUGGGGAGCAAACAGGAUUAGAUACCCUGGUAGUCCACGCCGUAAACGAUGAGUGCUAGUUGUUGGGGGGCAUGCCCUUCAGUGACGCAGUUAACGCAAUAAGCACUCCGCCUGGGGAGUACGGUCGCAAGAUUA